RNA transcript from Sapajus apella (tufted capuchin), 1078 nucleotides. It is a transcript of the gene named leucine-rich repeat and WD repeat-containing protein 1 pseudogene, with no coding region annotated. The record is from RefSeq and is a predicted model, not a curated record. The transcript has 2 exons. Lineage: Eukaryota; Metazoa; Chordata; Mammalia; Primates; Cebidae.
AUGACGUCCACCCUUUGCAAUGCAAGUGACUCCUUGGAUGUGACCCUGGCUGUGACAAGGCUCACCUACAAGUCGCCUGGUGAGGAGUUCUUCUCCGUGGCCUGGACCGCCCUGAUGGUGGUCACACAGGCCUGGUCUGGCUGCUGCAGGUGCGUCCCGGCUUCUGCUUUGGCGUCAUCCGGGCCCACAAGAAAGCCAUCACCACCCUUUGCUUCAGCCCCGCCCAUGAGAUCCACCUCUUCAUGGCCUCUUAUGACAAGUGGAUCAUCCUCUGGGACAUUGGGAUGCCCAACCAGGACUGUGAGUUCCAGGCCAGCCAGCUGCUCACGCUGGACACCACCUGCACCCCCUGCGCCUCUGUCCCAUCGCCUCCUGCCUGGAUGCCCUCCUGCUGGCCGGCUGUGAGGGCAGCUGCUGCAGCUGGGACGUGCAGCUGGACCAGCCCCAGAAGAGGAGGGUGUGUGAAGUAGAAUUCGUGUUUCCCGAGGGCUCCGAACCUUCUGGACGGAGAGUGGAUGGGCUGGCAUUUGUGAAUGAGGACGUCGUGGCCUCCAAGGGCAGCGGCCAGGGCACCAUCUGCCUGUGGAGCUGGAGGCAGACGUGGGGUGGCUGGGGCAGCCAGUCCACGGUGGCGGUGGUGGUCCUGGCGUGGCUGCAGUGGUCGCCCACCGAGCUGGCCUACUUCUCACUCAGCACCUGUCCUGAUAAGGGGGUCGUGCUCUGCAGGGAUGAAGAGGGCAACGUGUGGCUCUACGAUGUCAGCAACAUCCUGAAGCAGCCGCCCCCGCUGCCGGCGGUCCCGCAGGCCCCCACACAGAUCCUGAAGUGGCCCCAGCCCUGGGCCCUUGGGCAGGCGGUGGCCAAGACCAUGGUGAACACGGUGGUGGCCAAUGCGUCCUUCACCUACCUCACUGCCCUGACAGACUCCAACAUCGUAGCCAUCUGGGGGAGGCCGUAGCCUCACCUGUAGCAAAGGACCAGGAACACAGCUAACUUAUUCAGCUCUGGGGUGAUAGGGGUGGGGGUGGGGGUGUCCCUAUCAAUCUGAAUAUUUUUAUUAAACUCUGUGGUCGAGAAG